RNAcentral lists this ribosomal RNA (424 nucleotides) under Verrucomicrobiota bacterium. Its description in RNAcentral is "Verrucomicrobia bacterium partial 16S ribosomal RNA". It matches the Rfam family "Bacterial small subunit ribosomal RNA", at positions 355 to 776 of the family's 1533-position model. Lineage: Bacteria; Pseudomonadati; Verrucomicrobiota. The record is from RNAcentral.
UGAGGAAUAUUGGUCAAUGGGCGAGAGCCUGAACCAGCCAAGUAGCGUGCAGGAUGACGGCCCUAUGGGUUGUAAACUGCUUUUAUAUGGGAAUAAAGUGAGGGACGUGUCCCUUAUUGCAUGUACCAUACGAAUAAGGACCGGCUAAUUCCGUGCCAGCAGCCGCGGUAAUACGGAAGGUCCAGGCGUUAUCCGGAUUUAUUGGGUUUAAAGGGAGCGUAGGCUGUUUGUUAAGCGUGUUGUGAAAUGUACCGGCUCAACCGGUGAAUUGCAGCGCGAACUGUUUGGCUUGAGUGCACGGUAAGCAGGCGGAAUUCAUGGUGUAGCGGUGAAAUGCUUAGAUAUCAUGAAGAACUCCGAUUGCGAAGGCAGCUUGCUGCAGUGCGACUGACGCUGAUGCUCGAAGGUGCGGGUAUCAAACAGG